RNAcentral lists this ribosomal RNA (253 nucleotides) under uncultured bacterium. RNAcentral's name for it is "partial 16S ribosomal RNA". It matches the Rfam family "Bacterial small subunit ribosomal RNA", at positions 524 to 776 of the family's 1533-position model. The record is from RNAcentral.
UACGUAGGUGGCAAGCGUUGUCCGGAAUUACUGGGUGUAAAGGGAGCGCAGGCGGGAAGCCAAGUCAGCUGUGAAAACUACGGGCUUAACUUGUAGACUGCAGUUGAAACUGGUUUUCUUGAGUGAAGUAGAGGUUGGCGGAAUUCCGAGUGUAGCGGUGAAAUGCGUAGAUAUACGGAGGAACACCGGUGGCGAAGGCGGCCAACUGGGCUUUAACUGACGCUGAGGCUCGAAAGUGUGGGGAGCAAACAGG